Non-coding RNA from Xyrichtys novacula (pearly razorfish), 3915 nucleotides. Lineage: Eukaryota; Metazoa; Chordata; Actinopteri; Labriformes; Labridae. The record is from the annotation of a GenBank genome assembly.
CCUAAAACGGUCAAAAGUUACUUGUGUAUCUUUGAAAACCUGACACCUUGUGUGGGAUCGAUGGCAUUAUUUUUCAUAUCUUUAUCAACCUGACAGUAAAAAGUUGAACCCUAAUUUGAAGUCCGGCCAAGCCAAUAAUAGGCACUUUAAAAGCUUCUAGUCAGGAUACAUCAUGCAACUUUAAAGGAUAUUCUGUUGUUCUUCCUUGAGCUGCAUCACCCCGCUGUAGUCGAUGGACUCGACUGGAAGUCGCCGUACAAACAAGCGGCUGCUGGAAGAGAGUGGGUGAGUUGUGUUUAGUCUCUUUGUUCAAGAAAUCAGGCAAAACUAAAAAGAUGUUUGGUGGCUAGUACUAUGUGCUAGGACCCUCUAUGUACUGUUGAUAAAAUUAGCUGCUGUUCUGAACAUUAUUUGUGGCCAUUGAGUGGCGUUUUGGUUGAGCGCAUGGGUCUCUGCAUAGCUAUCUGCAGUCAUUACUAAAGUUGGUAUUACUAGAGAAGGAAGCGGUCGGCAACAUUCAUUUCUCGAGGGGUUGUCUAACUCGGUGUUACAGUGUGUUUGACCCUAACUUAAUUUUACACCGGAAUAUCCCUUUUUCACAGCAUCGGAGUGGAGUAGAGGAUAGAAAUGUACAUGUAAGCCAUGUUAAAGCAUCCCUUUUAUGAAUGUUGAGCUGUGCCACAUUUGCUUUUCUUCCCAGUUUUACAUGAAUUAUACAUUUCCAUACCAAGGUUUAUGACAAAGCUUAAAACUAGCAUGAACUUGUUUUUGGAUUCAACUUUAAAGCAAUUGAGGGCAAAACUGUGCAGUUCACUCUUCAGCAAACACUCUUGUUUGCCUUCAUGGAAAUAGGAUAUUAUGAAAAUUCCCUGAUAGUAAUAGGAAAAUCUGUCCUCUCUCUUCAUUGUAUUGUCAUGAGGGAAGCUAUAGUGCACCACAAGAAAGAACCACUGCAUUGUAACAAACAGAACCAGAAGCCUCUAGAUUUUGUUUUUUUUCGUCAAAGGAACUGAAGGCCAAGAUGAGCAUGGCAACAUGAUUUUUUAUCGUAACAUGCCAACUUUAUGAAAAUUCUGACUAUAGUUUGAUUUGGAUAUGACCAGUGGGAUGUAUGUGGCCAAACAACACAAGCUGUUUUAUCACCUCAACUCCACAAGAUGGCAGCUUUUACCAACACAUGAUAUCUUUUCUGCAUACUGCCCCACCCUGGUUCACACAUUGUGACUGAAAAUAACCUGAAGAUGCUUACCAAGUAGGAAUAUCUUUCAUGCAACAUCAGCAUCAUUCAUGAAGGUGUACAUUUUUAAAAUUGUACACAGGCGUUUAGAUGCAAAGACAAGCGCUAAACUUUGCACAGUACAUUUUUGAGCCGUACAUUUGAUCAGCUUGAUAUCAGAGCUGAGGAAUACUUGAAUCUUCAUCUGGCAGUCACUUAAUAAACUACUAUCAUGGAUGCUUUUGUCUUUGCGAGACCGAUGAUUAUUCAUUGCUGUGAUCCUAAACUAAGAUAAAUAGCAAUUAUAAGUGUGAAUUGUUUGACAGACAAAUUCUGACAAUUUAAAGUAAAACUAAGUUAAUCUCUUUCUUUCUUUCUUACUCUCCAUCCCACAUUAACUUUAACAAGCCUUGUGACACUGGUCAGGAACCCUUCCUGCACUGACUCAACUUGGAUUCAACUGAUUAAAGCUGAGUUGAGAUAUUAUAACUGUCUCUUUUGAUUCUGAACUCUAGAUAAUGCUUAUCUUCACAGAGCUGUGUCUUCACUGAGCUGUAGCAGCAUGCUUGUUUGUGAAGAUUAAAAUGAUGAAAAAGCACGUUUAAUUUUCACCUUGUAUUCCAGGAUAUCAGAGGAUGGGAUGAAAAUUUAGUUGCCCAGUCAUGCAAUUCCAUCUUUUCUGGAGAUAAUAAAAUGCUGAUUAGAAACGUUGUACCAGGAUAAUCAGCAGGGUUGUCACAGUUGCCUCUGCGCUGUUUGACAAAUAACACACACAAAUGAGUUCCUACAAGUCACACAUGAAUGGCCCUGAAAACUCUGUGACAACUGCAUGAUCUGGUUCUCAAUAGACACCCCCAUGUCAGUCAUGCAAAUGUGUAAGAUUGAAUGUAAUAGCCGAAGUGUAUGGGGAUGUCAGUUUUUUCUUAUUUGAUCUGUCUGUUUAUGGAAAAAAGACAAGACCACAAUAAAGAGCAUUUUGAAGCCAGUGCAGUUAUUAAAGUUCUUUGAGAAAUUGGUUUUAAAUUUAAAUCUAGUGCUCAAAUCUGUCCCUUAUAGUCUCCCAUGCUGAUGUGUAAUUGGAGAGAAAGGGGCAACAUUUAUGGCAUGAAUGCAUGGAAGACAAGCAAACUUUUUAAUUGAUUCAUUUUAUUUCCUGUCUGUAGAAUAAAACAAUAAGCCAUUAUAAUCAGCCAAGAUCUCCAACUGGUCCUCCUCUGGGCAUCUGUUCUGCCUAACUUGAAAAAAAAAAAACUGCAAUUCACCUUUGCAUUGGUAUGUAGGAUCCACGAUUCACAUUAUCCAGGUAAGUUCUUGCUUUUAAUUCAAACAUUAAUGUCAAGAGUGUAUAUGCUGACAUUCCUGUUUUGGUAUUUUUGAGGUUUGUUUGCUGUAUAAAAAAAUACAUAUUCAAACUUUAAUAUGAGAGUAAGUGGGCAAAAGCAUUUCAUUUUGCAAUUUCUUCUGGACUUUUCCGAUAGCUUGAUGCAAAGUCUGGUUAGUACAAGGCUGAUGAUAAUAUUACCCUUUUACCUAACAGGUGGUUGACAUGGUCUCAGUGACGCCCUUUCUAUCUCAUUUCAUCAUUAGAUGGUCUAUUCCCCACUCGUGUUACUGUGUUGAAUUGGUCACAGGAUAUCAGCCACAAGAUGGCCUCAUAUGAUUUCAGAUUCUUUAAAAAAACAUUCAAUUUUAUUUUUUCGGGAGGGAUGGGGUCAAGACAGAGAUGCCACAUAUUCUCUUCCUGGUCGUAAGGCUGAGUAGACUUAUAUAUGGCUGGACUGAAUGUGACUCAGUUUGAAACUUAAGUGGAUUUUUCUUUGGGAUUGUUAAGUAUUGCUUUAUUUAUCCUCAAUCCUAAAUCUGAAUGAACCAUUGACACAUGUUGUAUAAUACUCCUGAUUUAUGUCCUCUGUUUGUGCCCUGGACACAUAUCUUUUCAAUUUGUCCAAAGAUGAAAGAUUUGUACUUCUUCUGUGUUAAAACCAUUACUGCCACAGUCUUUUGACAAUGUUCAUAACCCGAACUAUUCCAUGCUCUCUUAUAUAGGGAAAUACUAGCAUCAUACAGAAUUGAUACACCAUACAGUGUUUCUUUAUGUUUUGAAUUCACAGUCAGAUACAGUGAUGGGAAUGCAACUUGUGAAUUAUCAAACACAUGUUGAAUACUGACUGGUAGCCAAGGUUAUCUCCAAACAAUCACACAUACUUGAUGGCACAUUUUAAAUGGUUUAAAGAAACAGACAUGGACCUUCAAGUUAACAUGGAUAAUUCUCAAGAAUUAUACCCCCGUUCUCAUCACUUUAAUUGUUUGCUGCUGCUCCUGCUAAUUACCUUCUCCUCAUCACUAACAGGUCUUCCUCUUCUCUUUAUCCCUUAAUAAUAAUUGGAUGGAAACCUAAAGAAAAAAGUGAAGGAGGCUGCUCAUCAAUUAAGGAACUGAAUGGGUUCCUCUGUAGUUCACAGUCGUGCUGAUGAAUGUAACACUUGCGCAUAUAAACCCUUAAGGAGCACAGUUUGUGUAAUCAUGAACAUGUAGGUACAACCUCUCACAAUAUGUAAGGUCUUUGUAGAUCUGGAAAAAGAAAAUCCCGCUUAAUUUGGUCACCUACUGGCUUGUAAAUCUUUAAGUAACUUGACUGAUUUUUUGGGUGGUGACAUGUUUAAAUGAACAUCUCCAAUUAAAGUGACCCUCAGUGUCUG